Molecule: long non-coding RNA, 1652 nt
Organism: Eutrema salsugineum
Lineage: Eukaryota; Viridiplantae; Streptophyta; Magnoliopsida; Brassicales; Brassicaceae
Exons: 4
Source: RefSeq, a predicted model, not a curated record
AUUUAUACGAAAAUCAAUUCAUUUUACUUUUCUCAUCUAACCAUUCGUACUUUAAAUCUACCAGAAGAAAUAUUGAUACAAAUGAGUGGGAGAUUGGGUCUUCUCAGCUUCGCCUCUCUUCCAUGGAAGCCACAAGCAAGGUAAGCGGCUUUAGACUCAAGAAAGAGAUUGUGCUGGGACUGAGUAUGAGUGUACGACACAGGUCUAUUUCACAUUGAGUAUUGCCAAUGAAUCUAUCAAGCUUGGUUAUACUGAGGAGUUGAUCUGAAGUCCGAGAAGAGUAUCCCUUUGCGCCUCGUCUUUGUAUUAACAGUCUUGCUACGUUCAGCAAAAUCCAACUGGUUGAUUCCGAUUCAUUCAACUUUCCAUUGUAAGCACCUUAGAUGUAAUCUUUUGUUUUUAUCUGUCUUUAGUGGGUUCUAUUUGCAUCACAAAACUUAAUCUUGGUGAGGCAUGAGUCAUAAAGGUAUAAAACAAAAGUAAAAUCAUUUGAAGUUUACCAAUAAUAAUAGUCACACACUACUUUGUCAGUCUCUCUUUUAAUCUUCAGAAGCGGAGCAGUAUGGAGAAGACAAUGGCAAUUGAUGACCAUAUAGGUUGUCCAAUGAGUAUCUGAUUGCUGAUGCACGCACGAGCGAAGACUCAAGUGACAUCUCAGUUUUUGCUUCUCGUGGUUCCUUUCUUACAUCAAUAUGUUACCAACUAUUUUUUGUUUCUCUGUAGCCUAGAACCACAGCUUCUCGUAUGGUGAGCCAAUGAAUGUAGAAUCUACAAGACAAGCUUUGUGUGAUCUGGCGUUAUGGUUUGGUGAAGGACAUGAAGAGUCAAUGGUAAUAACUGCCCCAUUACUCAUUAAUAUCACAGGAAGAGUCACUAAUAACAGGCUGAAUUUACUCUCGUCUAAAAAGUUUCGUUAUGUCUAUUCCUCUAUGUUUCUUACUAUUUACCUUAAUAGAUACGUAAAUCGAAUUCCCCUUCUUUCACUGAACUACAAUGUUGUCAGCCGGUGAGCCACGAGGAUGGAAUGUCUGUCGAGACGGUUUUUGGGAGAAAAAAGCUCCUUUCAGUAAGGCCUUUCCAAUCACAAAAUUUGUCUUUUUAUUGAAACUAAUACUCAGUAUCACUGGUACCGAGGUCCAUUUACGAUUUCGACAUCCAAAGGAAAUGGUAUAGUCUUUUCUUGACCCAAAGACCACAGCUAAGAUUCAGGUUCUUGGCAACCAAUACCAAAGCAAACUGCUAGAAAUCAUUCACGCCAAGUGCUAACUUGAUAACUCUUUACAUGUGACUUUGGAACUGUUGUUUUAUCUUCAGAUAAGCAUCUAAAGACUCUCUCUUCUCAUUGUUUGUUUAGUGAACUGCCUUUGUGGGUGGUACUUGUACCUGCGCAGAUAAAGACGAAUCUAUGCAUUCAGACAAAGGUUCAUGGAACGACCCCGAGAUCUUAAUACAUGGAAGUCGACAACGUUGCAAGUAAGACGGCAGUCUUUUAUCCUGUAGUGCCCUCUUCGGAAAUGAAUGUUGUGUAUGGUUGACAGCUGUUUUGUGAUUUCUCACAAUUUUGCUUACAAUACCCAUCCAUUUGGUUAUGUAUUUGCAUGGUUACUUGGUGGGUAAUGUGCAUAUUUAAGUUGUACUAUAUAUUUAUAUAA